Molecule: unclassified non-coding RNA, 241 nt
Filed under: Hevea brasiliensis (rubber tree)
Lineage: Eukaryota; Viridiplantae; Streptophyta; Magnoliopsida; Malpighiales; Euphorbiaceae
Source: RNAcentral
AGAAGCCCCAAUAAAACUCCAGCCCAAGAGCAUAGAAGGCUAAAACAGGACCCCAUGGAUGACAAUUAAGACCAAAGCCAAGGCGAGCUAAAAGAAAUUGGGGAGGCUAGCAAGCCCUUGGCUUCUCUUAAAGCCUUUAUGGAAUGAAAGGUCAAAGAUCAACAUUGAAGAGUCCUUGAGUUACCACACCUCAAAGAGCCAUUAGAUUCUUCCUAUAAUAACACAUAAACAACUAACACAA